Molecule: non-coding RNA, 112 nt
Organism: Neisseria meningitidis Z2491
Lineage: Bacteria; Pseudomonadati; Pseudomonadota; Betaproteobacteria; Neisseriales; Neisseriaceae
Source: Rfam
GUGCUGCAUUAAGAGUUGGGAAUUCCAUGCCAACCUGCUUUUCAAAUGGAAAGGUAAGGUGGACGGUUGAAAAACCGAUGUGGCUCACCAGAGCAAUCCAAACCCGCUUGAU